GGAAGAAGGUAGAGCUGCCUGGGUCAAGAGGGUGGCAGCUGGAAGACCCUGUGUCUGGCAAGAGGACUCUGCACCUUGCCACACAAGUCGGAGAACCCA
Octopus sinensis (East Asian common octopus) is the source of this 99-nucleotide long non-coding RNA. RefSeq lists it as uncharacterized. The record is from RefSeq and is a predicted model, not a curated record. NCBI's taxonomy places the organism in Eukaryota, Metazoa, Mollusca, Cephalopoda, Octopoda, Octopodidae. The transcript has 3 exons.